Molecule: long non-coding RNA, 3248 nt
Organism: Neofelis nebulosa (Clouded leopard)
Lineage: Eukaryota; Metazoa; Chordata; Mammalia; Carnivora; Felidae
Exons: 2
Source: RefSeq, a predicted model, not a curated record
CUUAAUUUCAAGAGAAAGCCAAGAGACCUUGUCUGUGGAGCAGAAUGGUUUCGGUUCCAGGCUGACCCAGCAAGUGUCAUUGUGGCCUUUCCCCUUACCUGUCUGUCUGCCCCUCUCCCCCCAUGUUUAGACUUCCUCUCUGAUGGGUUCAUGUUCUAGAGUAAAAACAAAGCUCAUGCAGGGAUCCUGUUCCCCAGAGUUACCAACCGUACCACCUGCUCAUCACCGGUUCCCAGUUUGCUUCCUUGAAGUCUGUGUCCCUCAGCCGCCGUGCCUUCCAUCUAGCUCCCAGGAAGCGCUGCGGCACCACCAUCUAGGUUCGAAACCCUGCACCGCUGCCCUUCUUGUGACUUUUUCAGUGAAUAACUGUUGAGUUCCAUUUAAGAAGUAAAUGGUAGUUACUUUCAUUACAUAGAAAAAGCCUGAAGGAAAUAUACUGAACUAUUUUUGAGGACUUAUUUUUUUCUUUGUGCUUUCUUCAUAUGUUUUACAUUUUCUACUGCAAAUGUAACUUUUAUCAGAGGGGGAAAAAAAGGGGUUGCCACAAAACAUUCAACCCUACCAAAAAAGGAAAUGCUAUUUAAAAGCUUCCUGGUCAAAUUUCUAUUAAAAGCAUGGCUGUGCUUUAGGUUCUGAGGCCAGUCAUUUCCUGCUUUGGUUAUGUUAUUUUUUUUCCUACUAACUACUUAAUCCAAACAAAAACAGUUUUUGCCUGAUUUCAACUUCUAGCUUCAGGUUUCUCAUCUGUAAAAUGAGUUGGUUUAGAUGUUUCUAAGGUCCAUUCCAGCCAUAAAAUUCUGUUUUAAGAAAUGAAGUUGUAACCAGCAGAGUGUUGAUAAUACUUACUAAAGAGUUUUGCCAGUAGGAAAUGGCCUAACCUUAUUUUUUGCUGACAUAAUAUUCUACUUCAAAUGUAGUGUCUAUCAGCUGGGUCUCCUCUUAAUUCAAAUAAGCAAUUUUUUUUUUUUUUUUUAACCCGCAAACAUUUUGUAAGAAACCAGGCACUUAUUUUAUACUGGCCAUUCAUUGUGAAUAUAGAAUAAAAGUAAUGGUCAAACUGUCAUUCUAAAUGGAAACUUUUGUUAAGAUUUCAACUCAGAAUCAAGCGUGGGUUUUCAAAUCCGCCCCACUCACACGUGCUGGUUUCACUCAAUUGGCUUACCCAGUGUUUGCCCCAUGUAUUUUUUACUGACCUUUUAAACAUGUUUGUCUUCUGGCAUCAUCUUGAACUUAGCGAAAUUGUUUCCUCUUUUCCCAGAGGUGUCCAAGCCAGUGUUGGAUGAAACUUGUUGCAAGUCAUAUAUUUUGCUGCAGGAAAACAAGUCAGGAUGUCGAUUGGUAGUUUGGUAGUUUUUACCGACCCUCGGCCCUUGCAGCAAUGGCGGUUUCUGGCUAUGCUACAGUGGGAUGCAACUUUUAUUGUGGGGAUGAAUGAAGUGAAGUAGAAUGAAAGGCAAGUUUUGUUCCUCUAAUACUGGAUUAACAUAGAGACGUUGGAUGAUACCUGGCAGUUUCUGUGACAGGUGUAAAAUGAUGUUCUCCAUUACUGUUUCUGUACCAGUAAGUCUUAGAUGAGAUAAGCAGGAAGAGGUGAGGAAUUAUGCAUCCAGUUAGAUUACAUUCUCCAUAAAGAGGAACAGUUAUCCAGGGAACUGUCAAUUCUCUGGUGACCAGAAAACACUUUUAAUUAGUAGAGAGGUUUUUCUAACUUAAGACUUUAAAGCAAUGUUCUUUACUUGUUACUCCUCAUUUUUUUGGCUUGCCUCGAUUAAGUUACACUCGUCAUUUUAUACAAAACACCAUUAGGUGUUUUUUUGUGAUGCCUAGCUCUACAACGCCUAAGCAGCGCAGUGCCUUAAAUGAAAAAUGGACAAUAGUCAUUUGUAUAUUUCUUUUGGAAUACAUUUUUCGCUAAAUUUCCCAGACUCGCAUGAUAAGCUUAUAGUUAGCUUCACAGUUGAUACCAUUGCCAUCUAUGGAAUGGGGUCAACACUUCCAAAUUCCCAGUAUCCAGAAAGAGGAUUUGAUGAAACCUGGUUAGAUGGAUCUCUACAGAUUGUAAUAUUCAAUUCCAGCCUUCACUUACAGUCAUGCACUUGCAAGGAGAGAACUACUGGUUUCUCUAAAUGUCACCUAAGCCUUUAAUGAUUUAAAGCUUUUUCCUCCCCCCAAAUUGUUACUAUAAAUUUAUAAGAUACUAAAAAAUAAUGCCAGAUGGGGCAUACAUUUUGUAGAAUGAGGAGAUGUGGUGCUCUUUUUUUCUCUCUCAAAGUGCUUUCUCAGCAGGACACUAGCCCCGCCUUGAGGACAAGAGGGAAGGAGAGGCGGACUCUUCUGCUCCCUCAAGGCUUGCCGCUGAAACAGCCCUCCUGGAAGGUCAGCAAAGCACACUGCGUUGCUGCUGCCCAGUGGGGUUUCUGGAAGAGAGCACCUGCUGGAGAUUCCCUGCCCCUGCUGACCGAUGGCAUCCGCCCAGUGCUCCUGCCCAUGGACUUCAGGGUCCAAGCUAAAGUGCCAACGGGGAAGAGAAAGUACGGAUUCCUAUGUUACAAGAGAGAAAUGCCGCCGGUCUUAGAAGCCCAUAAUGACUUACUCCAGUCCUCAGGAGAGUGUAAACAUUGAGGGACAGGGACACUGUCCCGUUCACCACCGAAGUGGUGAGUGCCACUGCACAGCGCCUGGCACAAAGUACACACUCACAGACUUUUAGUAAGGAGCAGCUAACGAAAAUUCUGGUUCACGCCGGCCGAUUUCUGGUAGUUUAUUUGUCGCAUAAAAGGAACCUGAAGUGAAGAUGUGAAAUAACUUUCCAGCCAGUCAGCGGUGUAAUCCGGGUUCAAGCCCAGGCCUCAAGGCAGAGCUCCUGCAUGCCCACUGGGAAGCCUACACACAAGUACCUGUUAAAACCAGAUCAACAAGUGGGGGCACCUGGGUGGCUCAGUCGGUUAAGCGUCUGACUUCAGCUCAGGUCAUGAUCUCACGGUCCGUGAGUUCGAGCCCCGUGUCGGGCUCUGUGCCGUCAGUCCAGAGCCUGGAGCCUGCUUCGGAUUCUGUGUCUCCCUCUCUCUCUGCCCCUCCCCCACUCACGCUCUGUCUCUAUCAAAAAAUGAAUAAACGUUAAAAAAAAAUAAAACAAACAAACAGAAAAACCCAGGUCAACAGGUAUGGAAUUGUUGAAUCACUGUAUCAUACACUUGAAACUAAUAUAACACUGCAUGCUAACUCUACUGGAAAAAAAAAACGAACAA